Molecule: ribosomal RNA, 301 nt
Filed under: uncultured bacterium
Lineage: Bacteria
Description: partial 16S ribosomal RNA
Rfam family: Bacterial small subunit ribosomal RNA
Source: RNAcentral
CAGUCGCCGCGGGAAUACAGAGGGUGCGAGCGUUAAUCGGAUUUACUGGGCGUAAAGCGUGCGUAGGCGGCUUCUUAAGUCGGAUGUGAAAUCCCUGAGCUUAACUUAGGAAUUGCAUUCGAUACUGGGAAGCUAGAGUAUGGGAGAGGAUGGUAGAAUUCCAGGUGUAGCGGUGAAAUGCGUAGAGAUCUGGAGGAAUACCGAUGGCGAAGGCAGCCAUCUGGCCUAAUACUGACGCUGAGGUACGAAAGCGUGGGGAGCAAACAGGAUUAGAUACCCGAGUAGUCCCUGUCUCUUAUAC